Long non-coding RNA from Homo sapiens (human), 4993 nucleotides. RefSeq annotates it as long independently transcribed non-coding RNA 3214. The record is from RefSeq and is a predicted model, not a curated record. The transcript is spliced from 8 exons. Lineage: Eukaryota; Metazoa; Chordata; Mammalia; Primates; Hominidae.
UUUAAGCAAUUUCUGUGAGUCUGAUUGUAAUUUCUGUGUUCCUCUUAGGUGGGGGAGAAAAAAUAAGAGUGGAUAAAAGAAAGAAAGAAAACAGAGAAAGGUGGGAAAAAAAAAACAAAGGAAGGAAGAGAGAAAAGAGAAUGAGAGGAAGAGAAGGAAGGGGAAAAACAAGAUUGACUUUACAGUAUGAGAUAUACUAUUAUAUAUUGGACCCUUGGUGGGCAGUGCCUAAACAGAGACAACUACAGGUUUCUGGCUGUGGCCACUCUCUGGUGAAACUAAGGGGUUUCUGUGUGGAGGUGCCUAACAGCCACCGUCCAGUUUGGGUAAAGAAAGCUUUUUAUGGUUCACUAAGGACAAUCAACCCCUUCGCAAUCUAGAACCAAAAGACUGGAUCUUCUGAGAACAUCUACUAGACCAUCAAGCUUCAGAUGCUCAUGUGACAAGGGUUCCAGCCAGUUCCAGGUGAAGACACCACUCCUAGCCAUCAAGGAACUACCCUGUCUCCACUAGACAGAGAAGGUAGUAUGAUGCCUCUGGCUUCCCUCUAUCACACGUCUUCUUUUCGAGUAAAGGUUUUUCAUAAAUGUGAGCGUGGAAGAAGAAACCAGUUAAAUAUGGAACUUCACACCAGGACACAAAAGAUGGUGUCAGAAGCGGAUCCGAAGUGGAACUUUUAGUGACCCUCAGGAGCACUGAAUGAACAUGCAAGGAACCUGCAGGACCCACUUGUGUCCAUUGAUCUCUGGGAGCAGCUGGGAUAAGCUCCUUUUCGGAUUUCAGAGCUCCAUGGACUUGUGUCUUGAGAUCCCUGAGUUUCUUUGAGCAAAUUUCUGAUCCAAAAUGGGUUUGGCAUCAUGGCAGAAACAGGACUGGGUCCACGAAUGGAUUUGAUCCAGGAAUGAACUGGCUUGGAUCCAGUCAGAGGUCUCUUACAUCUGACUGGGUCAGAAAGGAACUGGUAGUAAGCAGUAAUAUUGCAGAGGUUAUAACAUUUGGCUUUUAAAAAAUAACAGGAAUUUUUGUGUUCUACCUCCUAUGUUAAAUUUUUCUUGUAUACUUAGGUAGAAAAAAGUCAUUGGCUAAGUUAAUCAAGAGAACCUGAGAGUAAAGCCAAUAUUUUAGGUAAAAAUGAGAUCCUUAAUUUCUGGGAAACUGAGUUCAUUCUGGUUUAUACUUUAAGCCUGGGAGGCAGCGAAGUCUUGCGGCAAAAUCUUACAAAAGAUAACUUACAGGGGAACGCUGCAAAUGAACAACAAUGCAUUGAAGUAAAUUUAAAAAUGAUGGUUCUCGGUAAAUUCCCAUUGGCUAAGAAUGGAUUUGGCACUUCGGGAUGUCAACUGCUAUUCUCUUUGGAAUAAUCUGUCUUGCACUCUUUGAUGACGACUAUGGGUGACAGGAUUAGGGAUUUACAGGAUCCUGGGACAUGGGGAGCUUAUUCCUCCCUAAAAGGGGAAACUUGAGAGAUGAGGAGACUGCUGGAAAAGAGCCCUUUGCUACCAAGAAGCAACCACCUGAACUUCUCAGUGUUGCUUCAAUGUGUGGGUCUUUCUCUGGCCUCCCUGAUCAUUUCGCCUUCCCCAACCUCCCACAGACUAUGCUUUCCUCUCUCUCCUUUCCCUUUCUUAUCUUUUCUCUUACUCAGAGGGACCAUCUUGCCCAGAGACCACGUGUUGAAACUCCUACUCAGAGGUUGGAUUAAAGAUGACAGGACCCAUCUGAGGGCAAAUUUAAGCCUUGCCAAUUUGAUAUUGGGUGCUAAGCAGAGUAGCUAAUAUCUAUGUUUUAUCACACGUAUUUUGCUCUGGCCAGACUGAAAAAAGAUAAUUUUUCUUUAUGAUGCAUCUUGGUCCCAGCAGGAUGGUGUGGCAAGCUGAGUCACUAAGGCUGCUCAGGGAAAGGGAACCCAGAAUCUUGGCAUGCCGGCAAAAGGCCCAUGGUUCACUGAGGACAACUCCUUUGCAAUCUAGAACCCAAAGAUUGGAUCUUCUGAGAACAUCAGAGAAAGACUGUCCUUGCCAUCCACACUACAGCAAAGCUUUGGAGCCUUGAACCUUGGGUUCAUGAUCUUACAACUGAGAAGGGCCCCUCCACACUCCUGAACUGUACAACCAUUGAAACUCUUAAGGUAAAAUUAACUAGGAAAGUUUAUCUCCUUAAGAAGAUGGCAUCCUUGAUGUGAACAGCUUUUCCCAAGAUCCUGGAUCAAAACGUCUACUAUCACGAGACUCUUAUAUUUGAAUAUAUUUUCCGGUUUAUGCCUUUAGGAACAAUUGAAAUGAAAGGGGGAUCUAUUAUGUGCACUUAUAGGGUAUACUUUUAUUUGUGAAGGAUUUUGCAUCCAGCCUUAUAUGAAUAACCUUGUACUUUAAUAGAUAAAAGAUGAAGGCUCAAUGUAGGUGAGAAAAUGUAGUGGUACAUAUGUUGCCUCAUAAUCAGUCAAAACUCUUCUUAACCCACAUAAUGGAUUAAAGAGAAUAUUGCCAGGAGGCCUUCGCUUUUCUAAAAUGACAUCAUUUGUUAGGUCCUUUUUCCAUAGUUUAGUAUAAAAGAGGCAAUAAUUAGAAAUGUCACCCUCAUAAUAGGCUCUACAGCAAAUUCUACUUUAAAGGCUAUUGUUACACAACAGACUUUAAAUUAUCUUGUAAAAGUUAUGCUAAAUAAUAGAAUUGGCCAAACAGAAAAGUACCUGUGCAGUUGCUGACACCUGUGGCCUAUGGAGAAAUACAUCAAAUGUAGAUUAUACAAUUUCAGUUGUAGGGGAUUAAUGAAAAGACCACCUAGUCAAGCAAGUAGGCUCUUCAUAUAGCUCAUUCUUUAAUCUAUUUAAUUUUACAUGGUUUGGUUUAUGGGGACCCUGGGUAAGGAGCACACUCCAAAUUUGUUAUUAUUCUCCCAGUACUCAUAAUGAUAGUCUCCCUGAUGUGCUAUAUUCUCUUAAAGGUUUUAAAUGUUUGCAUGCAGCCAUCUCUAGAACAUCAAAUGGUCUCUAUUCAACCAGAAUGACAAAAGCUGAAAGAAAUGUGUGACCCUGAGGAUAUCGUAACCUACGAAUGAUGUGCUGAGACUGGAAACCCUAAAUGAUGUUACUGAGAAUGGCACUAAGGCCUUAAGUUUUGGUCACACUGUCACCUAAGUGAGAACCUGGCUGAAAAGGGAGAAUUUUUAAACAACAAAAUUAGAGGAAGCCACUAUUUUGGACUGAGCUCAUGCACUAGGCCCCAACAAACGAAACCAAGCUAAAAUGGAGUCACUCAUCCUAAAUGUGACAUAAUCAAACCAAGGCUUUAAGAACACAGAUAGAUGCUAGAACAGACUACAUUUUGUUUUUCUCCUGUAAACAGGAUGUCUAUCAUAAGGAGGUACCGUCUACUCAGUCCUUAUUCUCUCCUUGCAAAACCCACUUUUCUACUGUUUCCCAGUGGGUUUCAAACCAUAUAAUACAUUUAUGAUAGUGAUAUUAACAUCAAUGACUAAGGUUUUGGUCAAUCUCUCAAAAUUGAGAAAAUGACCAAAAGAGGGAAAUGAUUGCUAAAGCAAACUAAAUAUGGCCUGGGAAGAACUCCAUAGUCUUAUAUUUGAGUUCUUGCAGAUGAACUGUAACUUAGCUUAAUAGUCAGACAAAACUGAAAACCUAACUUAAUAGUAUGCGUCUGUAACAAUGGCUGAGUGUUCGCUAAUCCCAGCGGCCAUACUUCAACCACUCAUAGACUGCUGAAAGUUCAAAGUGCAUUCAAAUAAGGCAAAAACGGAGCUUAACCAGCCUCACUGUUUCUGUAUCUCACUUCCGAUUCCUGUAUGUCACUUUACCUUUUUUGUCUAUAAAUGUGUUCUGACCACGAGGCACCCCAGGUCUCUGUGAAUCUGUUGUAAUUCUGGAGGUGCCUGAUUCGCCAAUCAUUCAUUGCUCAAUUAAACUCCUUUAAAUUUAACUCAGCUGGACUUUUCCUUUUAUCAGGUUGAAUUUUACAUAUCUACUUUAGAUUUUAAUUUCUUCUAUAAAUUAAAAUCUAAUCUUCCAUAAUUUCUGAUAAAAUGUUUGUUAAAUGAACUCAAUGCAUUGGACAAAAAUUUCCUGUUGCUUUUCUUUCAAAGUACAUAAAUUGAUGCUACUUUUUCCACCUUUCUCACAUUUUCUCUGUCCCAAUCUUACACUGGAGGUUCAAUAGUCUUCUUCAUGCCUCAAGUUCUUUCUCUUGUAAUAUGAAAGGCAUGUGGCCACUUUCCUUUUCUAAUUCUUUCAUAAAUCUAAACAUUUUCACUACCUAUUGGUUACUAUGCUCACCAUCUGGGUGAAGGCAUCAUUUGUACACAAAAUCUAUAAAAUAUACUAUUUACUUAUGUAAAAAACCUAAACAUGUACCUGCUGAACCUAAAAUAAAAGUUGAAAAAGAAAAAUAAAUAAAUAAUACCUUCCCAGAAUAUUGCCUAUAGGAACAAGUCUAAAUUCCUUAAUACAGAGUAAAAUGGUAAUAAAAUUCUUGCCCUGAUUUUCUUUCUUAGGCCUAUGUCAUUUCAACACUCCCCAUCACCAUUCUUCCCCAAUCUCUUCCAUUUUUUGAGUCUAAAAUCCUUAAUACAUUGAAUUUUUGUUCAAUAUUUGUUAUAUGCCCAAAACUAUGCUAAGCUGCUGGACUCGUGCUCUUUCACAAUUCCUUUUCUGUUCCUUUCAGACUAGUGAAAUGAUACUGAUUUUUAAUGAUCUGUCUUUUCUUGGAAAUUUCCUAUUUCCAAAUGUCAAAAAAAGAACUUAUAAUUUUUGUCUCUCCAUUUCCAUAACACUUAUCAAUGUCACUGACAUAGCCCUAAUAAUUAUGAGAUGUACAUUGUUAGUUACACACAUUUCUUGUUUUCCUACUUUUGAUGUCUUUAAGGUCAGAGAUUGUAUUUUACUCGUUUGUAUUCCUAUCAGAAAAAAAACUGUGGCUUACAUGUAAUAUACAUUCAGUAAUUGUUUGAAUGAAAAAUGUAUUAAAAUAGUAUGAGUAUCCAA